UCGUGGAGUGAUCUGUCUGCUUAAUUGCGUUUCACACAGGGCGUUUAAAAUAUAUGUAUGAGAUGGCUGACGCCAUUCCUCUCAUGGAAUGUUGCUUGUCGCCGCUCGUCAUAUAUAAACUGUCCCUGAAUGCAACGAACGUGACCGCAACCUCUUGUUAUUUCUCUUUCAAAGUGAACAAUAUUGUAACUUCGGUUCAUAUUGUCUUUCA
This 211-nucleotide ribosomal RNA is filed under the name uncultured eukaryote. Its description in RNAcentral is "partial 18S ribosomal RNA". The record is from RNAcentral.